GAUGAACGCUGGCGGCGUGCCUAAUACAUGCAAGUCGAGCGAACAGACGAGGAGCUUGCUCCUCUGAUGUUAGCGGCGGACGGGUGAGUAACACGUGGAUAACCUACCUAUAAGACUGGGAUAACUUCGGGAAACCGGAGCUAAUACCGGAUAAUAUAUUGAACCGCAUGGUUCAAUAGUGAAAGACGGUUUUGCUGUCACUUAUAGAUGGAUCCGCGCCGCAUUAGCUAGUUGGUAAGGUAACGGCUUACCAAGGCAACGAUGCGUAGCCGACCUGAGAGGGUGAUCGGCACACUGGAACUGAGACACGGUCCAGACUCCUACGGGAGGCAGCAGUAGGGAAUCUUCCGCAAUGGGCGAAAGCCUGACGGAGCAACGCCGCGUGAGUGAUGAAGGUCUUCGGAUCGUAAAACUCUGUUAUUAGGGAAGAACAAAUGUGUAAGUAACUAUGCACGUCUUGACGGUACCUAAUCAGAAAGCCACGGCUAACUACGUG
Molecule: ribosomal RNA, 496 nt
Filed under: uncultured bacterium
Lineage: Bacteria
Description: partial 16S ribosomal RNA
Rfam family: Bacterial small subunit ribosomal RNA
Source: RNAcentral